GUCCUUUUGAUUAUAUAUUAAUAUAAGGUCAGGCCUGCCCAAUGAUUAUAUUAAAUGGCCGCAGUAUUUUGACUGUGCGAAGGUAGCAUAAUCACUUGUCUUUUAAUUGAAGGCUCGUAUGAAUGGUUUCAUGAGGGAUUAACUUUCUUUACUUUAUAUAUAUAAAUUUAACUUAUAGGUUAAAAGGCCUAUAUCCCCUUAAAAGACGAGAAGACCCUAUAGAACUUUAUUAUUAUAUAUUAUAUAAUUAAUUUAUAUUAUUAUACUCAUUAUAUAUUAAUAGUUAAUUUUGUUGGGGUGACAGUUAAAUUAUAUUAACUUUAAUUUGCUAGUAUCAUUAAUUAGUGAUUAAAUAUUGAUCCAAUACUAUUGAUUAUAAGAUUAAGUUACCUUAGGGAUAACAGCGUAAUUCUAUUGGAGAGUUCAUAUUAAUAAUAGAGUUUGCGACCUCGAUGUUGGAUUAAAAUAAGUAUUAGGUGCAGAAGCUUAAUAACUAAGUCUGUUCGACUUAUAAUAUUUUACA
RNAcentral lists this ribosomal RNA (523 nucleotides) under Nabinae sp. WCW-2003. RNAcentral's name for it is "partial 16S ribosomal RNA". It matches the Rfam family "Bacterial large subunit ribosomal RNA", at positions 1816 to 2600 of the family's 2925-position model. The record is from RNAcentral. Lineage: Eukaryota; Metazoa; Arthropoda; Insecta; Hemiptera; Nabidae.